CCUACGGGAGGCAGCAGUGAGGAAUAUUGGUCAAUGGGCGGAAGCCUGAACCAGCCAAGUAGCGUGCAGGAUGACGGCCCUACGGGUUGUAAACUGCUUUUAUACGGGAAUAACGCGCCUUACGUGUAGGGCUUUGCAUGUACCUUAUGAAUAAGGACCGGCUAAUUCCGUGCCAGCAGCCGCGGUAAUACGGAAGGUCCGGGCGUUAUCCGGAUGUAUUGGGUUUAAAGGGAGCGUAGGCCGGAUGUCAAGCGUGCUGUGAAAUGUCCGGGCUCAACCCGGGCAUUGCAGCGCGUACUGGCGGGCUUGAGUCCGCUGAAAGCAGGCGGAAGUCGUGGUGUAGCGGUGAAAUGCUUAGAUAUGACGAAGAACCCCGAUUGCGAAGGCAGCUUGCUGCAGCGGAACUGACGCUGAUGCUCGAAAGCGCGGGUAUCGAACAGGAUUAGAUACCCGAGUAGUC
Molecule: ribosomal RNA, 460 nt
Filed under: uncultured bacterium
Lineage: Bacteria
Description: partial 16S ribosomal RNA
Rfam family: Bacterial small subunit ribosomal RNA
Source: RNAcentral